UUUUUUUACAUGAUUUUUAUUUUUUUCAUUAUAGUUGCUUUACAGUGUUCAGUCAAUUUUCUAUUAUACAGCAGUGACCCAGUCACUUAUAACUAUGCAUUCUUUUUCUCACAUUAUUCUCCAUCAUGUUCCAUUGCAAGUGACUAGAUAUAGUUCCCUGUGCUAUACAGCAGGAUCAUAUUGCUUAUCUACUCCAGAUGCAAUAGUUUACAUUUAUUAACCCCAGACUUCCAUUCCAUCCCAUUUCCUCCCCCUCCUCUUUGGCAACCACAAGUCUGUUCUUCAAGUCCAUAAGUUUCGUUUCUGUGGAAAGGUUCAUUUGUGCCAUAUAUUAGAUGAUAUGGACAUUUCUGAUUAUACAACCAGUUCCCCAAGGCCACAUUGCUGGUAAUGGCCAAAGCCACUUCCUUCUUCUUUACUACUGCUCUUGUGCUCCACUUUGUGGACUUAGAAGAUGUUAAUAAGCUGAAAUAAAUAAUUAGUUUUUUUGUACUAAAAGAUUGAGGAUAUUCUACUCCCAGAAUGGAGGAGGAUUCCAGAAAUGAAGAAUGUCUUCUGUACCUUUUCUUAUAUUCAUCAUUAUCCAGUAGGAUUCCCAGGCACUGGUACAUCUGGCUGAAUAUCAUUUCCAGGACCCUCAGUGAUCUCUCAGGGACUCAUCUCUGCAACAAAGAGAGAGUCACUAAAUAACUCCUGUUCCUAAUAAACAACCUGACAGCAGGUGCACCAUGGCUCAGCACAUUAACCAUAUUUACCGUCUAAGAGACAGAAAGAAACCUGUCUCAUUUGAUGAGGAAGCCGUAAAGUUUUAGUGAAUGGGGAGUAAAUCAAGGUUUCCACUUGCCUUGUAAAAAUGCACUGCCUCACACUGCAUCUCACCCUUCACUCGCAUGAGUGUAUUUUUAUUUCUUUGCAUAAAUAAAACAUGACUCAAAGACACCCUCUUGACUUGCUCCUGGUACUGGGUUCAACAGCCCCAGAAUUAAAGUUGGCACUGUGUUUGUGAUGAGGCCUGAGCAUUUAUGAAACACCUAAAAUACUUGCAAGGUGAAAAAAAGGCUUUAAGCUGAAAAGGGACAGAAAAAGAAAUGAAGUCUUUUUGAGAAGACAUGCAAAGUGCCUGUUCCAGUCUUGGGCACCAAAUAAGAUCAUAAAAUAGGCUACUUGACUCUUUUUCCCCAUGUAUUAGAGCCCAGAGCACUUUGAGGAUAAUAAUAGCAAAGUAACCAGUCAAAUUCAAUCAAACAACCAGCUUUUAAAAUUGAUUCACAAGCUUAGUGGCAAGUGCUAAACUGUGUUCUAUAGUCACGUGAAUAUGGUGACUGUUUGGAGACCUAAAAUUUUGUGGUUCAUUUCAGUCAAUCAUUUUCUUCUAUUUUGACCCAAAGUAUUUCAGGCAAAAGCUGCUUUGCUGGCUUUUAGUAACUCUGAUCUGUCUGACUGUCUCUCUUUUUCCUAAACUUUAAUUUGGGAGCUGAUAUAUAGUGAAGAUCAAAAGUGAUUUUCUUGUAGAGAUCCAGGAGGGGUCUGUGGUGAGAAGGUAGAGAGGGGGCAUCUAGCUGGCUAGUCCCACGGGUCUGGGGCUGGAGCAGGGGGUGGUGCCUGGGAGCAAAGGCUAGAUAACUAUGGAAAGUUGCAAGUGUGAGCUGCAGAAAUGUAUUCAAAAUGGAAUGUUAAACCUGCAGCCCUUGAAUCAAAUACUGGAAGCUGAGGUUGUGCCUACGAGUGUCUGGAAAUUGGAACAAGAAAGGUGAAGGGAAGCUGUCAAGGUGAAGGUCUGACCAAGCAGGUUCUGUUUUCUGGUCAGGUUCAUGAACCCCUGGUGAACCUUUUCCUGGAUAGUUUCUUUAAAGUACCUAGAAUGCAUUUAAUGGAGAACAUCGUCUGUUUAUCUGAUUCUUCUCAUUUUUAUAUAUUUAUUUUUGUUUUACUAAAAUGGUAACUUUUUAAAGGAUAUGUUCCCUUUAAUAUAGUUGUACAUAUAAACUUUCUGCUAAGAGACAUUAUAUGCAUGUCAGAAUUUUAUAUAAAAAUUCUUCAUUUAGGACAACAGGCAAUAAAUAACACUAUAUUCCAAAGAGAGCAAUGGACAUUGUCCCCUGAAUCUGAAAGGACAGUGCAGAAAAAUGACAGAAACCACAGCUCUUCCUUCACCUAUGUGUGAAGCAGCCUGGAGAGUGGGCAGGAUGUGAGUUGUGUUUGUAGACUUAGGGGAGGCAUUAACUCUCUCCUCUUUUAAGGAGCAUGUCUCUCAAGUCAAAUGAGGGCACUGUGUAUAGAGAUUGGAGGGCACCUGCAAAAGGGAAGACUAGCACUCCCCUCCCCUCCUAGCUGGGUGCACGUGGGGAAUCCAUGGUUCUACUCUGGAUCACCUUUGAAACAAAGUGGGGUACAGUGAGAAAAGCCUCUGCAGCUUCUUCAGUAUGUGUCCUGGGAGAUGGAGGGUAUGUGCAAAUAGAAACAUGUCUGCCUCCUGCCUGGGGAGUCCUGAAGUCCACAUGUUGUCUGGAGCAGCCCUAAUGGCAAGAAGAAAAGGGCAGGAAUGAGGCAGCCCACAUAUCAAGUUUGACUCUAAGGAUGAGUUUAUUGCAAAAAGUACUGGAUUAGAUCUUCUUAUGAUUACCUGCCAGUCUGUGGGAUCAGGAUAAAAUACUAUAGGUGUGUUACCUGGGAUAGGAGUGGAGGGAAGUGUUAGAGAGGUCAGCAGCAUGUGUAUCACCCUGUGAGGGAAGUAGGAAAAGGCCCCCAAAAUACUGACUCUUGCAUUCCAGGAGCGAGCCAGCUCUGAAAUAUCUCUGCCCAUUGGGGACAUUGAGAGUCAGCUCAUAGGGAAUCUAACAAUGGAUGCAGUUAAGUAGAGUACCUGUUGCCUUUCUCCUACUCCCCUUUCCUCAUACUCAGUAAGAGUAGGAAAAGGGAGAAAGAAGAGAUGAAGGAAGAGGAAGAAACAGACCAUACCUUCUUUACCACUGCUGAUCUUGACCCAAGGCUUGAACUGAGCAAAAGUCAGGUUUGGAAGCUUUAAAUUGAAUGUGAGAUUCAAGUUAUAAUUUAUGCUGAACUUUACUUUUAAAAAAGAAAACAGAAGUCAAUUCCAAAAUGAGAACAGUUCUUUUGUAGCUAAAAGUGCCUGGAAAGUUAAUGGAUCUGCUCAAAUUGAACUGGCAUCAAGGGGUGAUUUGGCAGAGCAGAAAUAAGCAGUGGCUGGGGGAGAGGGGAUAAAACUGUUUCAUGCUCAGACUCUACUGGGGCUUUCCGGAAUGCUAAAUAAACUAGUUAUACCUGUUAAGAUAGUCUUACCAUUUUCAUGGCCUGGGAUAAUAGAAAAUGAUAAUUUCUUUUGUAAAGCAAAUUGAGGCAAAUAGACAUACCUACUUGGGCCUCAAGGUUACUUGAGGCUAUUUGUUGAGUAUUUUCAACCCCAAUCCCUUGCCCUAGACCCUGACCAAAGGGCUGGUGACUAUUUCCAUAGAUUGGGGCACUCUGUUUUAUACUUAGUAUAAGCUUAGAGUGGCCAGGAGAAUUCCUCAUCUUCCUUUAUAGGAUAAGGGAUAAUUUUUCUCCAUACAAAGCCUACUUAAGAUUACCUGUAGAAAUCCAUAGGUUUAAAUUCUCAUCUGCAUAUUAGUGUAGAAGCAGCAGAGAAUAAUGGAACAAACAUUGGCUUGGGAGACAAAGUUCCAAAGUUGUAAAUGGCCAGCUGUUUAUCUUGGGAGGACUCAAUCUAUCUGGGUUUUUGUUUCCUUAAUUGUCAAAUGAGGGGAUUGAGAGGCAUGUAUUUAAUAAAUGGCAGCCAUCACCAGCACUAGCACCUCCUCUCUCCAAGACUGAGCUGUAAAGAGAAAGAGCAAUAAUCAUCUGGUUAAAUUAGUUCAUCAAAUUUUGAUUGGAUGCCUACUGCACAUGGGACCAUAAAAGGCAAUAUGAAGCUCCCUGAAGCAUGUAAAGUGGGACGUUUUGCACCCUAAGGCUGCAGAACUCUCCAAAGUCCUCAGUGUCAUUCUAUAGGACAGAUAAUGUGUGAUCACAUGUCUCUCUGUGGCUUCUAAGACCUUUCCUGUUUAUUCCAUGCAGCAGCACAUCCUGGCCAUGCAUUGGAGAGCUUCUGAGUGGAGUUGAUUACUUGCCAGUGCUAUCUUAAUCCUCAGAUGUCCACUCCUCUGGUUGCUACAAGCACCUGGAGGAGGCAAUAUGUCUAGCAGAUUGUUCACCUUCAUCUGAUGCCUAAAAUAUUAAAAAUGGAUUUGAGAUAUCCACGGCCUAUCAGUACUCUGUUUGGUCAAAUAUCAGAUUUUAGCUGCUAUUUGCCCAAAGACCUAGAAAUUAUCUGAGGGGAGAGUGGUAUAUGUGUUUGGUAGGAAUGGGGAUCACUUUAUGGGCAUUUGCUUCCUCAGGCAAGGAACUCAUAGUCAGGAAUUUGGGUAGAAAGAAAUCCUAGUUUGUUCUUGUGAACUAACUUCAGUCAAUGAAUUAAUAAAUAUCAGGCAAUUUAUUUAUUUUCUCCUUGCCUUAUUUUUUCCUUUUAUUCCACCAUUUUGAUUUGGGUUCCCCUGAAAAAAGAGCCUUGAGUGUAGGAUGGGUGCUGGUGGUUUAUGUGACCCUAGGAAUAGGGGAGAGAAAACAAAGGCAGUUGGUCAGGCAAGGAAGAAAGUCAAUGUAAAGGUCCAUUAUUGAGCUCAUUGCUCUAAGAAGUGGGUGCUUGAUUCUUCCAGAUUCUCUGGAAACCCUCCUAGAAUCAUCAAUUGGAAAUAUGAGGUACUGGAACCUUUAUUCACUAGCUACUUUCCCUCUCUGAUGAUUACCCUUAUGGGCAUUACCUCUCCUGCAUUUGUGAGCUCCCAGUUCUUUGGCACAGUACUUUGGAAAAGACCCUGGGGGCAGAAUGUACACACCUCUAGAGGUGGAAGACUGGUACUGGGAGCUGUCCGUGGAUCUAGUGCUGAAACCAGAUGGAACCUGGGAGAUGUAACAAAGGUACCAGAAGGGUCUUCUUAUUUUAAAAAGGAUUUAUGGUGGCCUGCAAACAUGCAUAUGUUAACCUACACUUUAAUAUAUAUUCAAAUGAGUUAAAAAUGAGGAGGCUGUUACAAAGUUAUAAGAACAGAUGUCAUUUAAUCCUGUACACUACUUAGAUGUGGGGCUUAAAUAAAACUCUCUGAACUUUGAAACAGUCAACAUGAAGAGGGAAUUGUGAUAAAGUAGAAACUUUGCAAUGACUGGAAGACAAAAAUGAACCAUUUGUUCAGUAGAAACAUAACUAUUUAAAGUACUCAUAUCAAAGAAGAGUUUUCCUGUGGAUCCUCAGAGAGGACAAGGGGAUGGGAUGAACUACAUCCUGGUGAAACUCUUUCAUGUAGAAAAUUCAUUAUGAGUUUCAUAAUGUUGUUUCUUAUGUUUGAAUGUAGGCAAGUGGCUUCCCCCAAAGCAUUAUUUGUAAAAGAAAAUCUAAGGUAAGUGUCGGGAAGGGGAUUAUCAAUAAGAUGCAGUUCACUUGGUGGUCCUAUGAUGGCCCCAUUAAAAGAUAGAUGGUUUUAGAGACUAGAGGAAUGAGUGAGCCAAUUACUUUUAGGAUUAGUUUUGCUCUGAGUGCUUCUUAUCAUACCUCUCUCUGUUUUUCACUCUUUCUUGUUCAACUCUCAUUCCCAUCUUCUUUCCUUAGAAUG
Molecule: long non-coding RNA, 5663 nt
Filed under: Sus scrofa (pig)
Lineage: Eukaryota; Metazoa; Chordata; Mammalia; Artiodactyla; Suidae
Description: lncRNA (ENSSSCG00000058734.1)
Source: RNAcentral